This is a long non-coding RNA of Sinocyclocheilus anshuiensis, 108 nucleotides long. RefSeq lists it as uncharacterized. The transcript is spliced from 4 exons. NCBI's taxonomy places the organism in Eukaryota, Metazoa, Chordata, Actinopteri, Cypriniformes, Cyprinidae. The record is from RefSeq and is a predicted model, not a curated record.
CUGGUGUCCUCGUCGUGCUGCGGGGUUCGUGCAGGGAAGGGCAGUGGUCAGGAAGGAAGGGUCCAUGUAAGGGGCAGAGUCCGAAAGAAACAACGGAUCUGCUGUCCU